CAGAUGGCUCCCACGCUGGUUCCUUUAGUUUAGUUAGGCCUUAAAUGAUAGCGUGUUGGCUUCCUUUUUUAUCAGAUCUUUUCAGGUCUAGAUGCUAUGAACACCAGACGCUAUUAUGACCCGAGAGCAUGAACUUGAAUCUUCAUUAGUUGAACAAACUACGCUAACACGUAUAUCAGAAAUAACCGUUAGAUAAGUGUUAUUGGUAUCAAAGACAAUUUAUAAAAUUUUUUAUCCAAUCAGAAAAUCAAGCACGUGAUAAAAUGAUGGGAACUACAUUCAUUUUUCUGCAGAUGUUACACUGUAACUAAGGUGAGUUAAACAUUUUAUCUCAGUUUUACUCUCAUUGUACAGCGUCCAUGUGUUUUAGUGUUAGUAUCGAUUUAUUCAUUGUUUUGAUUCACGGUACCUAUGUCUUAUAAGAUAUUCAAAGACGACGAUUUAUGUUUCAGAAACAAAAUAUGAACUGUGCCGCAUGUCCGUAAAGGGGUAUUUCACAUGU
Molecule: long non-coding RNA, 502 nt
Organism: Mercenaria mercenaria
Lineage: Eukaryota; Metazoa; Mollusca; Bivalvia; Venerida; Veneridae
Exons: 3
Source: RefSeq, a predicted model, not a curated record